ACCAGACUCCUACGGGAGGCAGCAGUGGGGAAUAUUGCACAAUGGGGGGAACCCUGAUGCAGCGACGCCGCGUGGGUGAAGAAGCGCCUCGGCGCGUAAAGCCCUGUCAGCAGGGAAGAAAAUGACGGUACCUGAAGAAGAAGCUCCGGCUAACUACGUGCCAGCAGCCGCGGUAAUACGUAGGGGGCAAGCGUUAUCCGGAUUUACUGGGUGUAAAGGGGGCGCAGACGGCGAUGCAAGCCAGGAGUGAAAGCCCGGGGCCCAACCCCGGGACUGCUCUUGGAACUGCGUGGCUGGAGUGCAGGAGGGGCAGGCGGAAUUCCUGGUGUAGCGGUGAAAUGCGUAGAUAUCAGGAGGAACACCGGUGGCGAAGGCGGCCUGCUGGACUGCAACUGACGUUGAGGCCCGAAAGCGUGGGGAGCAAACAGGAUUAGAUACCCCGUAAAG
This 447-nucleotide ribosomal RNA is filed under the name uncultured bacterium. RNAcentral's name for it is "partial 16S ribosomal RNA". It matches the Rfam family "Bacterial small subunit ribosomal RNA", at positions 330 to 793 of the family's 1533-position model. The record is from RNAcentral.